GCAUAUCAAUAAGCGGAGGAAAAGAAACCAACAGGGAUUGCCCUAGUAACGGCGAGUGAAGCGGCAACAGCUCAAAUUUGAAAUCUGGCUUCGGCCCGAGUUGUAAUUUGCAGAGGAUGUUUAUGGUGCGGUACCUUCCGAGUUCCCUGGAACGGGACGCCACAGAGGGUGAGAGCCCCGUCUGGUUGGAUACCAAACCUGUGUUAAACUCCUUCAACGAGUCGAGUAGUUUGGGAAUGCUGCUCUAAAUGGGAGGUAAAUCUCUUCUAAAGCUAAAUACCGGCCAGAGACCGAUAGCGCACAAGUAGAGUGAUCGAAAGAUGAAAAGCACCUUGAAAAGGGGGUUAAACAGUACGUGAAAUUGUUGAAAGGGAAGCGUUUAUGACCAGACUUGUGUCGUGUGGCUCAUCCGAGGUUCUCCCCGGUGCACUCCACACGGCUCAGGCCAACAUCGGUUCUCGUUGGGGGAUAAGAACAGUAGGAACGUGGCCCCUCUCGGGGGGUGUUAUAGCCUAUUGUACGAUACUCUGACGGGGACCGAGGACCGCGCUUCGGCUAGGAUGUUGGCGUAAUGGUCAUUAGCGACCCGUCUUGAAACACGGACCAAGGAGUCGUCCAUUAGAGCGAGCGUUUGGGUGUAAAACCCGCACGCGUAAUGAAAGUGAAAUUAGGUGAGAGCUUCGGCGCAUCAUCGACCGAUCCUGAAGUUUACGGAUGGAUUUGAGUAAGAGUUUUAACGGACGGACCCGAAAGACAGUGAACUAUGCUUGAAUAGGGUGAAGCCAGAGGAAACUCUGGUGGAGGCUCGCAGCGGUUCUGACGUGCAAAUCGAUCGUCAAAUUUGAGCAUGGGGGGCGAAAGACUAAUCGAACUGUCUAGUAGCUGGUUACCGGCCGAAG
RNAcentral lists this ribosomal RNA (899 nucleotides) under Cryptosporium neesii. RNAcentral describes it as "LSU rRNA". It matches the Rfam family "Eukaryotic large subunit ribosomal RNA", at positions 38 to 966 of the family's 3401-position model. The record is from RNAcentral. Lineage: Eukaryota; Fungi; Ascomycota.